This 253-nucleotide ribosomal RNA is filed under the name uncultured bacterium. RNAcentral's name for it is "partial 16S ribosomal RNA". It matches the Rfam family "Bacterial small subunit ribosomal RNA", at positions 524 to 776 of the family's 1533-position model. The record is from RNAcentral.
UACGAAGGGUGCAAGCGUUAUCCGGAAUUAUUGGGCGUAAAGAGCUCGUAGGCGGUGUGUCGCGUCGGCCGUGAAAACCUGCAGCUUAACUGUGGGCUUGCGGUCGAUACGGGCAUCACUGGAGUUCGGCAGGGGAGACUGGAAUUCCUGGUGUAGCGGUGAAAUGCGCAGAUAUCAGGAGGAACACCGGUGGCGAAGGCGGCUUCCUGGUCCAGCACCGACGUCAGGCACGAAAGCGUGGGGAGCAAACAGG